GUAGGUAUAGCUGAGUGGUAGAGUGCAUGCUUAGCAUGCACUAGGUCCUGAGUUCAACCCCAGUACCUCCA
RNAcentral lists this transfer RNA (71 nucleotides) under Camelus dromedarius (Arabian camel). It matches the Rfam family "tRNA". From Rfam's summary of the family: Transfer RNA (tRNA) molecules are approximately 80 nucleotides in length. Their secondary structure includes four short double-helical elements and three loops (D, anti-codon, and T loops). Lineage: Eukaryota; Metazoa; Chordata; Mammalia; Artiodactyla; Camelidae. The record is from Rfam by way of RNAcentral. RNAcentral also lists the same sequence under 1 other name.